GUUUGAUCCUGGCUCAGAUUGAACGCUGGCGGCAUGCUUUACACAUGCAAGUCGAACGGCAGCACGGGCUUCGGCCUGGUGGCGAGUGGCGAACGGGUGAGUAAUGCAUCGGAACGUACCGUGUAAUGGGGGAUAACGUAGCGAAAGUUACGCUAAUACCGCAUACGCCCUGAGGGGGAAAGCGGGGAUCGUAAGACCUCGCGUUAUACGAGCGGCCGAUGUCGGAUUAGCUAGUUGGUGGGGUAAAGGCCUACCAAGGCGACGAUCCGUAGCGGGUCUGAGAGGAUGAUCCGCCACACUGGGACUGAGACACGGCCCAGACUCCUACGGGAGGCAGCAGUGGGGAAUUUUGGACAAUGGGCGGCAAGCCUGAUCCAGCCAUGCCGCGUGAGUGAAGAAGG
This 401-nucleotide ribosomal RNA is filed under the name uncultured bacterium. Its description in RNAcentral is "bacterial SSU rRNA". It matches the Rfam family "Bacterial small subunit ribosomal RNA", at positions 11 to 414 of the family's 1533-position model. The record is from RNAcentral.